CGUGAGUGAUGAAGGCUUUCGGGUCGUAAAGCUCUGUCAAGUGGGAAGAACCUGCAGUAUGCUAAUAUCAUAUUGCACUGACGGUACCACUGAAGGAAGCACCGGCUAACUCCGUGCCAGCAGCCGCGGUAAUACGGGGGGUGCAAGCGUUAUUCGGAAUCAUUGGGCGUAAAGGGCACGUAGGCGGCCUGGUAAGUCAGAUGUGAAAGCCCGGGGCUUAACCCCGGAAGUGCAUUUGAUACUGUCAGGCUUGAGUAUGGGAGAGGGAAGUGGAAUUCCUGGUGUAGAGGUGAAAUUCGUAGAUAUCAGGAGGAACACCGGUGGCGAAGGCGACUUCCUGGACCAAUACUGACGCUGAGGUGCGAAGGCGUGGGUAGCAAACAGGAUUAGAUACCCUGGUAGUCCACGCAGUAAACGUUGCUCACUAGGUGUAGCGGGUAUUGACCCCUGCUGUGCCGCAGUUAACGCAUUAA
RNAcentral lists this ribosomal RNA (473 nucleotides) under uncultured delta proteobacterium. RNAcentral's name for it is "bacterial SSU rRNA". It matches the Rfam family "Bacterial small subunit ribosomal RNA", at positions 400 to 863 of the family's 1533-position model. The record is from RNAcentral. Lineage: Bacteria; Deltaproteobacteria.